AAUUUUUCACAAGAUCAUUUAAGGAUAAAAGGAUUCUCCAGAUUUCUUCUGUACAUGGGGACAGCUCCUAUGGUGGAAAAUGGUGAUUUACGUGGGAUAAGACCUCUACCUGACCUUACCUGUGUGUCCGCUGCAAGCUUUCUAUGGAAUCCAGAAGGAAAUCCAGUGGAAUGAGCUGGCUCUUCAGGAAUAAAUCAGUAGAAAGAAGGUACAACUUAUGAGAAAAGCAAGUAAUGGAUUGGGAGCUGUGGUAAGCAGAUUCCUGAACCUGAGAUGUUCAAAAGGGUAACCUUGGUGACUCUGAAGUGGUAUUUUGACUUGGGAAUUUUGACUGCGACAAAAUCAACAAUAUUGUGGUGAGAUUUGCAUAUAGGACUCAGUAAUGUUUUUGAAUGAAGAUGACUUGUUAAUAAUAUUGAAGAUGGAUUCGGUUUACUAAUUCAUUCCUAUUUGUGAAGACUUGGGUAUGGGGGAAGACAAAGUGAAACCAGCUAUGUUGUGCCCUGCACCAUGGAGAGGCUUCCUGAAUUAAGAAUUAAGAAGAGACGCAAGGCUUCAGUCCAACAGCCAAGUAGGAAGUUAAUGUUGCCAACAACCACUGGAGUGAGCUUGGAAGCAGAUUUCACCUUCAGUUAACUUUUAUUUAAGAUGACUACAAUUGUGUGAGAGACUAAAAGACAUAACACAGUACACAGA
Dama dama (fallow deer) is the source of this 696-nucleotide long non-coding RNA. RefSeq lists it as uncharacterized. Lineage: Eukaryota; Metazoa; Chordata; Mammalia; Artiodactyla; Cervidae. The record is from RefSeq and is a predicted model, not a curated record. The transcript is spliced from 6 exons.